Molecule: microRNA, 21 nt
Filed under: Gallus gallus (chicken)
Lineage: Eukaryota; Metazoa; Chordata; Aves; Galliformes; Phasianidae
Description: gga-miR-449a
Gene: gga-miR-449a
Source: miRBase by way of RNAcentral
UGGCAGUGUAUGUUAGCUGGU